RNAcentral lists this ribosomal RNA (467 nucleotides) under Catonella morbi. RNAcentral describes it as "bacterial SSU rRNA". It matches the Rfam family "Bacterial small subunit ribosomal RNA", at positions 28 to 495 of the family's 1533-position model. The record is from RNAcentral. Lineage: Bacteria; Bacillati; Bacillota; Clostridia; Lachnospirales; Lachnospiraceae.
GAUGAACGCUGGCGGCGUGCCUAACACAUGCAAGUCGAACGGAGAUUACAGACGGAAGUUUUCGGAUGGAAGACUGUAAUUCUUAGUGGCGGACGGGUGAGUAACGCGUGGGCAACCUGCCCUAUACAGGGGGAUAGCAGCUGGAAACGGCUGGUAAGACCGCAUAAGUCGGUUAAAUCGCAUUAUUUGACCGGGAAAUGAGCAAUCAGGUAUAGGAUGGGCCCGCGUCCGAUUAGCCAGUUGGCAGGGUAAAAGCCUACCAAAGCGACGAUCGGUAGCCGGACUGAGAGGUCGGACGGCCACAUUGGGACUGAGACACGGCCCAAACUCCUACGGGAGGCAGCAGUGGGGGAUAUUGCACAAUGGAGGAAACUCUGAUGCAGCGACGCCGCGUGAGUGAAGAAGUAUUUCGGUAUGUAAAGCUCUAUCAGCAGGGAAGAUGAUGACGUACCUGACUAAGAGCCCCG